This is a long non-coding RNA of Sapajus apella (tufted capuchin), 492 nucleotides long. RefSeq lists it as uncharacterized. The transcript is spliced from 3 exons. NCBI's taxonomy places the organism in Eukaryota, Metazoa, Chordata, Mammalia, Primates, Cebidae. The record is from RefSeq and is a predicted model, not a curated record.
CAUAUACACAAUGAAAUAUUAUUCAGUCAUGAAAAAGAAUGAAAUUCUGUCAUUUACAGCAACAUAGAUGAACUAGGGGGCAUUAUAGAAAGGGAAAUAAGUUAGGCCCAAAAAGACGAGUGUCACAUGUUAUUACUUAUAUGUGAGAGCGUUCAUAAAGGUAGAGAGUAGAGCAAUAGAUACCAGAACCUGCGAAAGGCGUGUAGGGGUGGAGAAUGAAGAGUAUCUGGUUAAUGAUUACAGCAUACAAUUAGAUAGAUGGAAUAAGAUCCACUGGUUGAUAGCAAAAUAGGGUGACGAGAAUUAAUAAUUUAUCGUAUAUUUCAAAAUAGAAGAUUUGGAAUGUCAGCAACAAAAAGAAAUAAUAAAUGUUUGAGGUGAUAGAUAUCCCAAUUACCCAGUUUUGAUCAUUACACAUCGUAUAUUUGUAUCAAAAUACGACAUGUGCCCCAUAAAUAUGUACAACAAAUUUAUAUCAAAUUUUGAAAAUGG